CCUGGGUGGCCGUGGGCUGCUCACUGGAGCAGAGAGAAAGGGCUGGAGAGAGACAUGCUGUGGUUGCCCCGAGGAGGCAUCAGGGACAGGACACUGAGGCGUUCUGGCAGCAGUGACCCACUUAGAUAGGGGCUGCUGCCAUCAUGUGUCUUACGACUGAGCAGGCAGGGACAGAGGGCCAGGAGGAAAGCUGCUAGCGUCCAGCAGGUGGCAGCAGUUCCCAGAGGGACUGCUCUUCCAGGAACACCCUGGAUGGGGUUGCCCUCCGAGAGCCCAGCACGGCAUUCACACUCCCAGGUCCUUCUUGUUCCCGACUGCCAUUCUGGAGGGAUGGAAGACACGAGUUAAUACAGUUACCUUGUUAAACAAUAAAUGACUCUUGGCUUUGCAU
RNAcentral lists this long non-coding RNA (391 nucleotides) under Cricetulus griseus (Chinese hamster). RNAcentral's name for it is "lncRNA (ENSCGRG00015041258.1)". Lineage: Eukaryota; Metazoa; Chordata; Mammalia; Rodentia; Cricetidae. The record is from RNAcentral.